CCGCCCACUGAGGGCCUGCUUAGCGUCAGCCCCGAGGCGGGGCUCCCCUCGGGUUGGUGCUGUCCUUUCCCCUGCGGCCUCUGCUCUGGCGGCAGUACGUGGGCCGAGCUCUAGACACGUGCGGGAUGACUUGAAAGUAGGGCAUCCUUGGCCUUACGGAAGAGAGUAAAUUCACGGCAUGUGGACGGUCUGUAUGGCGUUCUCAGAUGCCUUUAUCUGAGUGAGAAAUCUGCCUCCAUCAGAAUCUCAGAUGUCUGACAGCCCUGUGUGACACCAGGAUAGAGAAAGAGAGUGCAAGCCGGGGAAGGACAGAUGAUCCAAAGAGGGCUCUGC
Long non-coding RNA from Herpailurus yagouaroundi (jaguarundi), 333 nucleotides. RefSeq lists it as uncharacterized. The record is from RefSeq and is a predicted model, not a curated record. NCBI's taxonomy places the organism in Eukaryota, Metazoa, Chordata, Mammalia, Carnivora, Felidae. The transcript has 4 exons.